Non-coding RNA from Physcomitrium patens, 1887 nucleotides. NCBI's taxonomy places the organism in Eukaryota, Viridiplantae, Streptophyta, Bryopsida, Funariales, Funariaceae. The record is from RefSeq and is a predicted model, not a curated record.
GUUCUGCUUUCUGAGCUCCGGGAUCUACGGUCUAGUGCGGCUGGAGGUUUUCUCUCCUCUUCCUUUGUGUGGUCUACGCCGGCGCGGUCCAUUGGGUGGAGGUGUUGUGCGGCGGAGUAGCAGCGGCGCUCCAAGUUUUCUUUCCUGAUUUGGUUCCGCUGGCGGCUUUGUGAACUAAGUUGCGGGCUCUGUGUUUUGUUCCGUUGUUGCGGUUGGAAAGUAUGACUGGUAGUGAGUAUCAAGAUUUCCAUCGGUGGUAAGGAGCUUGAGCGGUCAACAGACGUGGUGUUGGCGCUUUGUACUCUAUUCCAUUCUCGCGAGCUCUGGGUUGAGCUCGUUCCUGGAGCUCUACAACCUUGUGUGCAAGGUUCCCUCGAUCUUGUGAAUUUGCGUGGGUGUAGAAUCGGGGUUGGUUCUGUUGGUGCUCUGUGGCUGCUGGCGGCUUGACGAGCUGAGGCGACGUAGUGGUUUCGACCAGUAAUGUGGGUGGAGAAGCGCGAAGUUGUCGAGCUUGUAGUUUUGGUGCACUCAGAAGCUGCAUUGACGAAGUGAUUUUUUUUGUAUUCCCUUCCUUCCUUGUCCUAGUAGAGUUGAGAUCAUUCUUUCCCUUCCCUUGUCAACUGGUGGUGUUCAUGCAGUCGACAAGAACUUGUGGCGGAGUUAAUCUCCGUGUUGGUCUGUUGAGCUGCGAGGGCAGCACACAAGUGUAAAAUCAAGGCGGCGGUUCUGCAUCCUUGAUUUAAUCCAUGUCCAAAUAGUGCUGCCGACUGCUGGAGUUGGUCAACAAUCGGCGGCAGAACUGAAUGCUGUUUAAAGCUGGCUCUGCUUUAAAGUGUCUUGUUCAUGGUCUAGCCGUCCUCAAUCUUUAGUGCAAUCUAUUAGAUUUGCCGCACUCUUGCAGCUUUGUAUGUGUUUCCAAUUUUCCAGUAUUGAAUGCUUGCGGUGUACUGCAAACGGGUCCAUUCAAGCCGACUGGAUUCUUCCGCAUCAAAUUACUGUUAUUGUUUGGGCGCGCGAGCCGAGAUAAGUGCACAAUUGGAAUCGUGAAUUAGAUUUUUUGUUUUGUAUCCGUGUGUUGGCUACUUUGCACGAAGUCUUGCCCACACCGGCUUUGGAAUGGCUCACUCGUUGGUCGGAAGAGGUUGUUGUGCUGGUUCACAAGGGUUUAUGCAAGGGUGGAGGAUACUUAGGAAGUUAUAAAGGAGUUUGCAUAUGUACUAUCGACAUGAACAGAUGCUGUGAAUUGGAGGGUUAACGCCCGAGCCUCUUUUUUCAGUAGAACCAUUCGUCAGGGUUAAAGUGGACAACAUGUGCAAGCCGUCUUGGGCUCCUCGCUUUUCAGCGAAGGACAAAAUCCGAAGUGUUUUUCUUUUGAAGUCCACCUUUUGAUUGCCUUUGAGAAUUUGACUACCUCGUCGCGACUCUCAACCAUUGUGGAGGUUCACCGAAUCUGCAAAAAAUGUUGUAUUGCUCAACUUCAAACCCCUUCUUUAAAUUGUUGCAUUAUUGAUUUGGAGGGCAGAUCCAAGUACACCUGUGACUUAAUCACACUAAUGUGAUUUAUUUAUCACUAAGCUCAGGUCUUGCUUAUAUGAGUGCAUAUCCUAAAAAAAGGAAGCUGUCAAUCCUGACUGCUGAGAGUCUUGAAGAGCCUCCUACCUUCCGCAUCUCGUUUGGAGGUGUUGAGGUUGUAUAUGCAACGGUGAUUGACAACCUCUUUGGCAGUUCGUGCUUCCACUCUUGAGGCACGUGUGGAAAGGGUUCUUCCCCACGACCAGCACCAGUAUGUGGGAAUUCCAAAGGAUAACCUAUGUGUGGGCAAUCAAUUGUAAUUGAAUGCAAUUCAUAUUGUAUAAAAGUUAAUUUUGGGUGACACAUUAGCUUGGA